This is a small nucleolar RNA of Camelus dromedarius (Arabian camel), 138 nucleotides long. The record is from Ensembl. NCBI's taxonomy places the organism in Eukaryota, Metazoa, Chordata, Mammalia, Artiodactyla, Camelidae.
CUGGCCCUGAAUCAAGGCCAACGGUUUGCUGAAGCUGUUGGUUUCAAGCAGGAGCCUAAGGAAGUGCCUGUUUCACGGUCUGUUGGCCUUUUCAGAACUGUGGAAAUGUAACGGGCAGUUCAUUAGAAAGAAGCACUU